RNAcentral lists this ribosomal RNA (468 nucleotides) under uncultured bacterium. RNAcentral's name for it is "partial 16S ribosomal RNA". It matches the Rfam family "Bacterial small subunit ribosomal RNA", at positions 28 to 507 of the family's 1533-position model. The record is from RNAcentral.
GACGAACGCUGGCGGCGUGCUUAACACAUGCAAGUCGAACGGAAAGGCCCUGCUUUUGUGGGGUGCUCGAGUGGCGAACGGGUGAGUAACACGUGAGUAACCUGCCCUUGACUUUGGGAUAACUUCAGGAAACUGGGGCUAAUACCGGAUAGGAGCUCCUGCUGCAUGGUGGGGGUUGGAAAGUUUCGGCGGUUGGGGAUGGACUCGCGGCUUAUCAGCUUGUUGGUGGGGUAGUGGCUUACCAAGGCUUUGACGGGUAGCCGGCCUGAGAGGGUGACCGGCCACAUUGGGACUGAGAUACGGCCCAGACUCCUACGGGAGGCAGCAGUGGGGAAUAUUGCGCGAUGGGCGGAAGCCUGAUGCAGCAACGCCGCGUGCGGGAUGACGGCCUUCGGGUUGUAAACCGCUUUCGCCUGUGACGAAGCGUGAGUGACGGUAAUGGGUAAAGAAGCACCGGCUAACUACGUG